RNAcentral lists this long non-coding RNA (354 nucleotides) under Homo sapiens (human). Its description in RNAcentral is "non-protein coding lnc-MOCS2-7:1". Lineage: Eukaryota; Metazoa; Chordata; Mammalia; Primates; Hominidae. The record is from RNAcentral.
GCUACCAAUUUUUGAGCACCUACUCUGGGCAGUCACUGUGCUAAAUACUUUACCUAUAUUUGUGCCCAGUCUAUACCCAAUCCCUUCAAAGACAGCUGUUAUUCCCUUAUUUUAAAAAAUUAGGAAGCUAAAGACAUUUACUGACUCGUCGGUUCAAGAUUACUUGAUUAGAAAAUGGCAGGACAGUGAUCUUUCUAGUUCAAGUUGCACAGCUCUGAUACAAGGAACAAAACAACAACUCAAACACCAAUGUCACUGGUUGCUAUGAGAAACGAGUGAGCUGAUCCAAACACAUGGUAUUUCAGGUACCCAGCAUGGAAUAGUAGGUGCUCAAUAAAGGUUAGCUCUAUCUGC